GAUUUACUUAUUUAAGACUGCUCAGCCGGGACACUGGUUUGCAGUCACAAACAGAAUGGCAGCAUUGGAUGGCUUCUCUUUUGGAGUUGCAGGCGCUGCCGAUCCCCAUCCACAGGAAUCUGGCGUAGGAAAUGAGGGGACCGAUUCCCAUACAAUAGCUAGGACCUAGGAAAAGUCGUCACAUCACAGUCAACAUCUCAGCCACUUCAGAAACAACAACUGCUCUAAGGAAAAUGUGCAAAUAUCAAGGUUACCUGAGUCUGCUGGUCACUUCUAGUUUUUGGACUCUUGAAGAUAGAAGACUUGCUGACUUGUAAGCACGCAGCAGGCAACUGGUAGAAGAUUCAUGAAGACCACUGAGAGAAAGGAAGAAGAGGCAGGGAGGGAUCCACACGUGAGAGAUACAUUGGUCUCCGUUCCCAGGACACCUUGAGAGAGAUGAAGAUGAAGACACGGAGGCUCCACAAAAUGAAACUGUCUGCCCAAAGUCACCCAGUUAAUGGCGGAGUGGAGGUACAAAGCCACAUUUGUUCAACUCCAAAGACAAGGCCCUGGAACCACAUUCUGAUGUCUCCCUCACCCCGGAAAGACAGAGCAGUCUCCUGUCCCUGCUCGAGUGGCCACUAACCAAGAAGGUACAUCAUCUGCACACUGCAGGCAUUGUAUGGAGUCCUUGACCUGAAGUCUGGAGCAGACCAGUUGUCAAGAGCCACAUGCUGGGCAGAGGGAGACCGAGGACAGCCAGCCCAGCCUCCAUGAGCUGGAGCAAAGGUCUUCAGCCUUGAGCACCACAUGCGCCUUUCUCUCUGAGCUGCUGAGAUGAUGGUUCCCCUGCCUGCUCUGCUCUCAAAGAAACCUUGUGCUCAUACCAUUGCUCCCUCAACACCUCCACAGAGUGCCGGGAGGAAGGGGGCCUGGCUUACGCAUGGUAGCAGCCAGUGCUUGUCGUGCCUUUGUGCUGAGCCUUGGAGCUGAGAGCUGCUCUGAGCCUUGUCCACUUCUGCGGUUCGACUCCUUUGCCUGCUUCCCAUCCAUCAUCUUGAGCAUUCCCGGCUGGCCUAAGACUGGGGCCAAGAAGUUUCCCACUUUGGAUCGGCAGGGCACGGGUGGACGCUGACAGAGCUUCCAGUCUGACCUUGGGCAAGUCACCUGAGCCUCCGAGCCCUGGCUUCCUCAUCUGGGGAAUGGUUCUGCAGCUGCCCCGCCCACUUCACAGGCUUAUUAUGGGACUCCGAUGACAUGAGAAAGUACUUUGAAAACCGAAGUGGUCUGCACACGGAAGAUUUUGUUUUAUCUGUUCAAAAACAACAGCUCACGUUUCACAAGUGGGACUUUGCGGUAUUAGCUUACUUCCGUGGGCUUAGCAGUUUCAAAUUCAGGAGUGAGUCUCGUGAUCUCACAGGACCCACUCGUAGAGCUCCCCUUUGUAUUCUUAUUGU
Lepus europaeus (European hare) is the source of this 1439-nucleotide long non-coding RNA. RefSeq lists it as uncharacterized. The record is from RefSeq and is a predicted model, not a curated record. The transcript is spliced from 7 exons. Lineage: Eukaryota; Metazoa; Chordata; Mammalia; Lagomorpha; Leporidae.